Molecule: ribosomal RNA, 117 nt
Filed under: uncultured bacterium
Lineage: Bacteria
Description: partial 16S ribosomal RNA
Rfam family: Bacterial small subunit ribosomal RNA
Source: RNAcentral
CUACGGUGAAUACGUUCCCGGACCUUGUACACACCGCCCGUCAAGCCACGGAAGCUGGGUGUACCUAAAGUCGAUAACCGUAAGGAGUCGCCUAGGGUAAAACUAGUAACUGGGGCU